RNAcentral lists this ribosomal RNA (427 nucleotides) under uncultured bacterium. Its description in RNAcentral is "bacterial SSU rRNA". It matches the Rfam family "Bacterial small subunit ribosomal RNA", at positions 28 to 444 of the family's 1533-position model. The record is from RNAcentral.
GAUGAACGCUAGCUACAGGCUUAACACAUGCAAGUCGAGGGGCAGCAUGGUCUUAGCUUGCUAAGGCCGAUGGCGACCGGCGCACGGGUGAGUAACACGUAUCCAACCUGCCGUCUACUCUUGGACAGCCUUCUGAAAGGAAGAUUAAUACAAGAUGGCAUCAUGAGUUCACAUGUUCACAUGAUUAAAGGUAUUCCGGUAGACGAUGGGGAUGCGUUCCAUUAGAUAGUAGGCGGGGUAACGGCCCACCUAGUCUUCGAUGGAUAGGGGGUUCUGAGAGGAAGGUCCCCCACAUUGGAACUGAGACACGGUCCAAACUCCUACGGGAGGCAGCAGUGAGGAAUAUUGGUCAAUGGGCGAGAGCCUGAACCAGCCAAGUAGCGUGAAGGAUGACUGCCCUAUGGGUUGUAAACUUCUUUUAUAAAGG